This 107-nucleotide non-coding RNA is filed under the name Virgibacillus necropolis. Its description in RNAcentral is "SAM-I sequence". It matches the Rfam family "SAM riboswitch aptamer (S box leader)". From Rfam's summary of the family: The SAM riboswitch is found upstream of a number of genes which code for proteins involved in methionine or cysteine biosynthesis in Gram-positive bacteria. The SAM riboswitch acts at the level of transcription termination control. The record is from Rfam by way of RNAcentral. Lineage: Bacteria; Bacillati; Bacillota; Bacilli; Caryophanales; Bacillaceae.
UUCUUAUCUAGAGAGGUGGAGGGACUGGCCCUACGAUACCUCGGCAGCGUACUUUUUUCAAAAGUGACGUGCUAAUUCCAGCAAGCAACAAGCUUGAUAGAUGAGAA